RNAcentral lists this transfer RNA (83 nucleotides) under Capsaspora owczarzaki. RNAcentral describes it as "tRNA-Leu". It matches the Rfam family "tRNA". Rfam says of the family: Transfer RNA (tRNA) molecules are approximately 80 nucleotides in length. Their secondary structure includes four short double-helical elements and three loops (D, anti-codon, and T loops). Further hydrogen bonds mediate the characteristic L-shaped molecular structure. tRNAs have two regions of fundamental functional importance: the anti-codon, which is responsible for specific mRNA codon recognition, and the 3' end, to which the tRNAs corresponding amino acid is attached (by aminoacyl-tRNA synthetases). tRNAs cope with the degeneracy of the genetic code in two manners: having more than one tRNA (with a specific anti-codon) for a particular amino acid; and 'wobble' base-pairing, i.e. permitting non-standard base-pairing at the 3rd anti-codon position. Lineage: Eukaryota; Filasterea; Ministeriida; Capsasporidae. The record is from RNAcentral.
GCUUUAGUGGUGAAAUUGGUAAACACACUGAAUUUAAAAUUCAGUGCACUUUGUGCUUGUAAGUUCAAGUCUUACCUAAAGUA